AUUGAACGCUGGCGGCAUGCCUUACACAUGCAAGUCGAACGGUAACAGGUCUUCGGAUGCUGACGAGUGGCGAACGGGUGAGUAAUACAUCGGAACGUGCCCGAUCGUGGGGGAUAACGGAGCGAAAGCUUUGCUAAUACCGCAUACGAUCUACGGAUGAAAGCAGGGGACCGCAAGGCCUUGCGCGGACGGAGCGGCCGAUGGCAGAUUAGGUAGUUGGUGGGAUAAAAGCUUACCAAGCCGACGAUCUGGAGCUGGUCUGAGAGGACGACCAGCCACACUGGGACUGAGACACGGCCCAGACUCCUACGGGAGGCAGCAGUGGGGAAUUUUGGACAAUGGGCGAAAGCCUGAUCCAGCCAUGCCGCGUGCAGGAUGAAGGCCUUCGGGUUGUAGACUGCUUUUGUACGGAACGAAAAGACUCUUUCUAAUAAAGAGGGUCCAUGACGGUACCGUAAGAAUAAGCCCCGGCUAACUACGUG
RNAcentral lists this ribosomal RNA (482 nucleotides) under uncultured bacterium. RNAcentral's name for it is "partial 16S ribosomal RNA". It matches the Rfam family "Bacterial small subunit ribosomal RNA", at positions 30 to 507 of the family's 1533-position model. The record is from RNAcentral.